RNAcentral lists this transfer RNA (55 nucleotides) under Gnathostomula paradoxa. RNAcentral describes it as "tRNA-Tyr". Lineage: Eukaryota; Metazoa; Gnathostomulida; Bursovaginoidea; Gnathostomulidae. The record is from RNAcentral.
UCUUAAUUGGCAGAGUAAGUGCAUUAGAUUUAAGACCUAAAAAUUAACUUAAGAU